CCUACGGGAGGCAGCAGUGGGGAAUAUUGCACAAUGGGGGAAACCCUGAUGCAGCGACGCCGCGUGAGCGAAGAAGUAUUUCGGUAUGUAAAGCUCUAUCAGCAGGGAAGAAAAUGACGGUACCUGACUAAGAAGCACCGGCUAAAUACGUGCCAGCAGCCGCGGUAAUACGUAUGGUGCAAGCGUUAUCCGGAUUUACUGGGUGUAAAGGGAGCGUAGACGGAUGGGCAAGUCUGAUGUGAAAACCCGGGGCUCAACCCCGGGACUGCAUUGGAAACUGUUCAUCUAGAGUGCUGGAGAGGUAAGUGGAAUUCCUAGUGUAGCGGUGAAAUGCGUAGAUAUUAGGAGGAACACCAGUGGCGAAGGCGGCUUACUGGACAGUAACUGACGUUGAGGCUCGAAAGCGUGGGGAGCAAACAGGAUUAGAUACCCCAGUAGU
Molecule: ribosomal RNA, 439 nt
Filed under: uncultured Ruminococcus sp.
Lineage: Bacteria; Bacillati; Bacillota; Clostridia; Eubacteriales; Oscillospiraceae
Description: bacterial SSU rRNA
Rfam family: Bacterial small subunit ribosomal RNA
Source: RNAcentral